GAUGAACGCUGGCGGCGUGCCUAAUACAUGCAAGUCGAGCGAACAGACGAGGAGCUUGCUCCUCUGACGUUAGCGGCGGACGGGUGAGUAACACGUGGAUAACCUACCUAUAAGACUGGGAUAACUUCGGGAAACCGGAGCUAAUACCGGAUAAUAUAUUGAACCGCAUGGUUCAAUAGUGAAAGACGGUUUUGCUGUCACUUAUAGAUGGAUCCGCGCCGCAUUAGCUAGUUGGUAAGGUAACGGCUUACCAAGGCAACGAUGCGUAGCCGACCUGAGAGGGUGAUCGGCCACACUGGAACUGAGACACGGUCCAGACUCCUACGGGAGGCAGCAGUAGGGAAUCUUCCGCAAUGGGCGAAAGCCUGACGGAGCAACGCCGCGUGAGUGAUGAAGGUCUUCGGAUCGUAAAACCCUGUUAUUAGGGAAGAACAAAUGUGUAAGUAACUAUGCACGUCUUGACGGUACCUAAUCAGAAGGCCACGGCUAACUACGUG
RNAcentral lists this ribosomal RNA (497 nucleotides) under uncultured bacterium. Its description in RNAcentral is "partial 16S ribosomal RNA". It matches the Rfam family "Bacterial small subunit ribosomal RNA", at positions 28 to 507 of the family's 1533-position model. The record is from RNAcentral.